GAUGAACGCUGGCGGCGUGCCUAAUACAUGCAAGUAGAACGCAGAAGAGAGGAGCUUGCUCUUCUUGGAUGAGUUGCGAACGGGUGAGUAACGCGUAGAUAACCUGCCUUUUAGAGGGGGAUAACUACUGGAAACGAUAGCUAAUACCGCAUAACAUUGUGAACCACAUGGCUUAUUUGUGAAAGACGCAUUUGCUCCACUAUAAGAAGGAAUUCCGGUGUAUUAGCUAGUUGGUGAGGUAAUGGGUCAACUAAGGGAAGAAACAUAGACCAACCGGGAGGGUGGACGGCCAAACUGGGACUGGAGAACGGCCCAGGCUCCUACGGGAGGCAGCAGGAGGGGAUCUUCGGGAAUGGGGGGAACGCUGAACGGGGAAAGCCGGGUGAGGGGAGGAGGGUUUCGGAUCGGAAAACUCUGUUUUAAGGCAAGAACGGGUGGGGGAGUGGAAAGUGCACACUGUGACGGUAGCUUACCAGAAAGGGACGGCUAACUACGUG
This 497-nucleotide ribosomal RNA is filed under the name uncultured bacterium. Its description in RNAcentral is "partial 16S ribosomal RNA". It matches the Rfam family "Bacterial small subunit ribosomal RNA", at positions 28 to 507 of the family's 1533-position model. The record is from RNAcentral.